CAGUUCCAUUGCGUUAUCAAACUCAACACAUUUGGAUAAUCCUCUCCAAGAAAUGAGUAGCUCUACACCUCUCUCAGUGCUCCUCCUUUCAUGCUUUCUCGUACUUCUGCUGUCUCCUGCAUAUGGCGAAGAAGCAAUGGGAAUAGGCGUGAAAGAUGCAGGCUUGUUCGGUUCACUAAAGGACGAGAAAUCAAGGAAGAUGAUUGACGUAACAGACUAUCGACGAACAGGGCCUAACAUUCCUGGAGGACCUCACUACUCAAAUGACCAGAAAUCAAGAAAGAUGAUUGACGUAACAGACUAUCGACGAACAGGGCCUAACAUUCCUGGAGGACCACACUACUCAAAUGACGAGAAAUCAAGAAAGAUGAUUGACGUAACAGACUAUCGACGAACAGGGCCUAACAUUCCUGGAGGACCUCACUACUCAAAUGACGAGAAAUCAAGAAAGAUGAUUGACGUAACAGACUAUCGACGAACAGGGCCUAACAUUCCUGGAGGACCUCACUACUCAAAUGACGAGAAAUCAAGAAAGAUGAUUGACGUAACAGACUAUCGACGAACCGGGCCUAACAUUCCUGGAGGACCUCACUACUCAAAUGACGAGAAAUCAAGAAAGAUGAUUGACGUAACAGACUAUCGACGAACAGGGCCUAACAUUCCUGGAGGACCUCACUACUCAAAUGACGAGAAAUCAAGAAAGAUGAUUGACGUAACAGACUAUCGACGAACAGGGCCUAACAUUCCUGGAGGACCUCACUACUCAAAUGACGAGAAAUCAAGAAAGAUGAUUGACGUAACAGACUAUCGACGAACAGGGCCUAACAUUCCUGGAGGACCUCACUACUCAAAUGACGAGAAAUCAAGAAAGAUGAUUGACGUAACAGACUAUCGACGAACAGGGCCUAACAUUCCUGGAGGACCUCACUACUCAAAUGACGAGAAAUCAAGAAAGAUGAUUGACGUAACAGACUAUCGACGAACAGGGCCUAACAUUCCUGGAGGACCUCACUACUCAAAUGACGAGAAAUCAAGAAAGAUGAUUGACGUAACAGACUAUCGACGAACAGGGCCUAACAUUCCUGGAGGACCUCACUACUCAAAUGACGAGAAAUCAAGAAAGAUGAUUGACGUAACAGACUAUCGACGAACAGGGCCUAACAUUCCUGGAGGACCUCACUACUCAAAUGACGAGAAAUCAAGAAAGAUGAUUGACGUAACAGACUAUCGACGAACAGGGCCUAACAUUCCUGGAGGACCUCACUACUCAAAUGACGAGAAAUCAAGAAAGAUGAUUGACGUAACAGACUAUCGACGAACAGGGCCUAACAUUCCUGGAGGACCUCACUACUCAAAUGACGAGAAAUCAAGAAAGAUGAUUGACGUAACAGACUAUCGACGAACAGGGCCUAACAUUCCUGGAGGACCUCACUACUCAAAUGACGAGAAAUCAAGAAAGAUGAUUGACGUAACAGACUAUCGACGAACAGGGCCUAACAUUCCUGGAGGACCUCACUACUCAAAUGUAAACCAUGCAAUGAGCUUAACAGUGGGCAGAGUUUUGGUUAAAUUUUGUGUGAAGUGUGUUUGAUUAUUAUGUUAUUUUUUGUAGGACGAGAAAUCAAGAAAGAUGAUUGACGUAACAGACUAUCGACGAACAGGGCCUAACAUUCCUGGAGGACCUCACUACUCAAAUGACGAGAAAUCAAGAAAGAUGAUUGACGUAACAGACUAUCGACGAACAGGGCCUAACAUUCCUGGAGGACCACACUACUCAAAUGACGAGAAAUCAAGAAAGAUGAUUGACGUAACAGACUAUCGACGAACAGGGCCUAACAUUCCUGGAGGACCUCACUACUCAAAUGUAAACCA
This is an RNA transcript of Cucurbita maxima (winter squash), 1872 nucleotides long. It is a transcript of the gene named kininogen-1a-like, with no coding region annotated. The transcript has 20 exons. The record is from RefSeq and is a predicted model, not a curated record. Lineage: Eukaryota; Viridiplantae; Streptophyta; Magnoliopsida; Cucurbitales; Cucurbitaceae.